AGACAAUUAUUGUUUGUUUCUCUGUUACAUUUUAAUAUAUUCUUUUUUGAAGACAUUUUCAAUGACAAUUGGAAUCCAAACUUAAAAUAAGGUUCAACUACAUGCCAUGCAAACAAGGCUUAUUUCCCAGCUUAGGUGAGACUCAAAUGAAUCUGUAACCUUCUACACACAUGCUAAUUUGCACAUGUGCAGACAUUGACAUCUAUGUCACAACACAUUUCUCUGCCAAGUAUCUUUGGCAAAGACUAUAAAUUACAUACGAAUUUGAGAUAUGUUAAAAUGUGAAAAGCUCUGCAUCUUAGACUUGAUGAAAUACAGUAAUAAAUAACACUUAUCAAUUGUGUGUAAUAUGUUAGAUACCUCGCCUAUAUUAUUCACUUAUUUUCAUAAUUACCCUAUAAAACAGUACUGUUACUGUCUCAAUUUUACAGAUGAAGAAAACCGAGUCUAGGGGAGUUUAAGUCAUUAGUCUGAGGAAAAGGCAGAAUUGAACCAAAGCUUGAACUUGAAGCAUAUACGAUCUUCCUACUUAUCUCUUGGUUGCUUAAACACUUUGCUAAGAAGAGAGCAUUGUAAGAAGAAAUUAAAAAAUUGCAGCACCGGAAGCUCAAGUCAAUUCUAUUGGAAGCUGGUCUUUUUUUUUUCCAGAAGGUUCUGGAUGGAACAGACUGGACUCUUUCAAUAAGGGUUUUAAUAUGCAAUUUAAUUUACAAUAGAAUGUCCUAUAUGACUAGAAAAUGAAAGAGAAUUAAAUGCUAGAGAUAUUUCUUAGGACUUUUGGGUGUCAAACACUGAAAUUAGGUGUUCCAGGAGCUUGGGAAUCAGAGCCUCUAGAAGUGGG
This 841-nucleotide long non-coding RNA is filed under the name Bos indicus x Bos taurus (hybrid cattle). Its description in RNAcentral is "lncRNA (ENSBIXG00000019901.1)". The record is from RNAcentral. Lineage: Eukaryota; Metazoa; Chordata; Mammalia; Artiodactyla; Bovidae.